AUGAACACCCAGAGGAAGCCUGGAGACUGGAACUGCAACUCGUGCCAGCACCUCAACUUCAGCCGCCGUGACUUCUGUCAGCGCUGCCGUGCCACACGCUCGGAUCUGCAGCUCGGAGACGGCCGCUGUAUAGGUGGUGUGCUGACCUCCCUGGACGUUCGCCCAGGUGACUGGUACUGCAAUUGCGGCUACCACAACUUCGCCAGCCGCUCCAGCUGCCUCAAGUGUGGCACAAUUGUGAGGGACUUCCCAGCAGGCCAGGGUGGCACUGGCGCUGCUGAGAGCGGUGGAGUUCGUGCUGGGUGGAAAACUGGUGACUGGAUAUGCACAAGGCCUGGCUGUAAUGUGCACAACUUUGCAAGCAGAAUUGAGUGCUAUCAUUGCAAUGCACCUAGGGAAGCAGGCACCGGGAAGUGA
Molecule: ribosomal RNA, 417 nt
Filed under: Triticum aestivum (bread wheat)
Lineage: Eukaryota; Viridiplantae; Streptophyta; Magnoliopsida; Poales; Poaceae
Description: partial small subunit ribosomal RNA
Source: RNAcentral